RNAcentral lists this ribosomal RNA (467 nucleotides) under uncultured bacterium. Its description in RNAcentral is "partial 16S ribosomal RNA". It matches the Rfam family "Bacterial small subunit ribosomal RNA", at positions 28 to 507 of the family's 1533-position model. The record is from RNAcentral.
GACGAACGCUGGCGGCGUGCUUAACACAUGCAAGUCGAACGGAAAGGCCUCUUUCGGGGGGUACUCGAGUGGCGAACGGGUGAGUAACACGUGAGUAACCUGCCCUUGACUUUGGGAUAACUUCAGGAAACUGGGGCUAAUACCGGAUAGGAGCUCCUGCUGCAUGGUGGGGGCUGGAAAGUUUCGGCGGUUGGGGGUGGACUCGCGGCUUAUCCGCUUGUUGGGGGGGUAGUGGCUUACCACGGCUUUGACGGGUAGCCGGCCUGAGAGGGUGACCGGCCACAUUGGGACUGAGGUACGGCCCAGACUCCUACGGGAGGCAGCAGUGGGGAAUAUUGCACAAUGGGUGGAAGCCUGAUGCAGCAACGCCGUGUGCGGGAUGACGGCCUUCGGGUUGUAAACCGCUUUCGCUCAUGACGAAGCUUUGUGUGACGGUAGUGGGUAAAGAAGCACCGGCUAACUACGUG